Molecule: ribosomal RNA, 926 nt
Filed under: Salmonella enterica subsp. enterica serovar Typhimurium
Lineage: Bacteria; Pseudomonadati; Pseudomonadota; Gammaproteobacteria; Enterobacterales; Enterobacteriaceae
Description: partial 23S ribosomal RNA
Rfam family: Bacterial large subunit ribosomal RNA
Source: RNAcentral
AUCUAAGUACCCCGAGGAAAAGAAAUCAACCGAGAUUCCCCCAGUAGCGGCGAGCGAACGGGGAGGAGCCCAGAGCCUGAAUCAGCAUGUGUGUUAGUGGAAGCGUCUGGAAAGGCGCGCGAUACAGGGUGACAGCCCCGUACACAAAAGCGCAUGUGCUGUGAGCUCGAUGAGUAGGGCGGGACACGUGGUAUCCUGUCUGAAUAUGGGGGGACCAUCCUCCAAGGCUAAAUACUCCUGACUGACCGAUAGUGAACCAGUACCGUGAGGGAAAGGCGAAAAGAACCCCGGCGAGGGGAGUGAAAAAGAACCUGAAACCGUGUACGUACAAGCAGUGGGAGCACCCUUCGGGGUGUGACUGCGUACCUUUUGUAUAAUGGGUCAGCGACUUAUAUUCUGUAGCAAGGUUAACCGUAUAGGGGAGCCGGAGGGAAACCGAGUCUUAAUUGGGCGUUAAGUUGCAGGGUAUAGACCCGAAACCCGGUGAUCUAGCCAUGGGCAGGUUGAAGGUUGGGUAACACUAACUGGAGGACCGAACCGACUAAUGUUGAAAAAUUAGCGGAUGACCUGUGGCUGGGGGUGAAAGGCCAAUCAAACCGGGAGAUAGCUGGUUCUCCCCGAAAGCUAUUUAGGUAGCGCCUCGUGAAUUCAUCUCCGGGGGUAGAGCACUGUUUCGGCUAGGGGGCCAUCCCGGCUUACCAACCCGAUGCAAACUGCGAAUACCGGAGAAUGUUAUCACGGGAGACACACGGCGGGUGCUAACGUCCGUCGUGAAGAGGGAAACAACCCAGACCGCCAGCUAAGGUCCCAAAGUCAUGGUUAAGUGGGAAACGAUGUGGGAAGGCCCAGACAGCCAGGAUGUUGGCUUAGAAGCAGCCAUCAUUUAAAGAAAGCGUAAUAGCUCACUGGUCGAGUCGGCCUGCGCG